Molecule: RNA transcript, 1624 nt
Organism: Benincasa hispida (wax gourd)
Lineage: Eukaryota; Viridiplantae; Streptophyta; Magnoliopsida; Cucurbitales; Cucurbitaceae
Gene name: DHHA1 domain protein
Source: RefSeq, a predicted model, not a curated record
UGACAAAAAAUUUGGUAGACAAUCUCAAAGUGUGUAACUGGUUUAAAAAUAUUUAUGAAGUUGAGGGGAAGAGUUUAAGAUUAAAAUCUUAAGAUUGAGAUUGGUUGGAUGAACAGAAGAUUGACAAUGAAUUGCGUAACCACAAAAUCUACGGCGGUGCUUUAUCAUUAUCCUUGUCCCGACGGUGCUUUCGCCGCUCUGGCCGCUCAUCUCUAUUUCUCCGCGGCUUCUCUUCAUCAACAUCAACCACCCCCUCUCUUUUUCCCCAAUACCGUCUACAAUCCCCUCAGAUCCAACCAGCUUCCUCUGCAUCAAAUUGCCGACGUUUACCUUUUGGAUUUUGUGGGUCCUUCUGGAUUUGUUCAGGAUCUCUCUUCUAAAGUUAACAGAGUGAUUGUACUGGACCACCACAAGACGGCUCUUGAAAAGCUUUCUUCAUUUGGUCAAAACGUGACUAAAGUUAUAGAUAUUCAUAGAAGUGGAGCUACUAUAGCUUUUGACUAUUUCAAGCAAAAGCUAAUACAAGAUGCUGUCGGCAACUUUGAUGGUGGUUCUUCCCAUCACAAAGUGCUGAAUGAAUUUGAGCGUAUGAGGAGACUUUAUGAAUACAUUGAAGAUGGGGAUCUUUGGAAGUGGAGUCUUCCAAAUAGUAAAGCUCUAAGCAGUGGUCUGAAAGAUUUGAAUAUUGAAUUUGAUGCCCUCUUGAAUCCUAAUUUAUUUGAUCAGUUACUAUCUCUGGAUAUGGAGACUAUGAUUAGUCAAGGAAUAGCGAGCUUAUCACACAAACAAAAAUUAAUAGACGAUGCCCUGAAUCAAUCGUAUAGCAUUACACUCGGUGGUGGAGUUUAUGGACGUUGUCUAGCUGUCGAUGCAGAUUCUAUUUCAGAACUAAGGAGUGAAUUAGGUCAUCAAUUGGCUACUAAGAGUCAAAACUUAAAUUUAAGAGGCAUUGGGGCUGUUGUAUACCGAGUCCCUGCACUUGGGAAUGACCAGAUGUUAAAAAUAAGUCUUAGAAGUGUGCAUGACGAAGACACAACUCGCAUCUCACAGGAAUUUGGAGGUGGUGGCCAUAAAAAUGCAAGCUCCUUCAUGUUAAGCUCAACAGAAUUCCAAAAGUGGAAGAUUUGAAUAGUACACAAAAGUAAGCAAAAGAGUGACUUCAGCUGUGGAGGAUUUCAUGUGCCCUACUCUUUUCAUUCAAGGUAAUUUUAUAGCCUUGUGACGUACCAGCAUUUCUAAAGAUUGCUCAUCAUUACCCUUCUACAGAUUCCUCCAAAGCUAAAUGGACGAGGAGUCUACUCUAUAUUAUGGAAGGUGCUAAGCAUGGAAAAUUUUCAAGGAUUUCAUGCUAAUAACCGAACUUAUAUGUGGAAUGAAUAAGUUGUUAUAAAUUCUACCUACACAGACCAAUCUCGGCAGUGUUCGAGAUGGCUGGUGGACAAUCUUGUGAAACUGGCUAACGAGCUCCCGUCAGCUGAUCAAUAAGUGAGAGAGGUCGUCGAGGCCGAUUGCUGAUGAAUUGGAAGCACACCAUGCAUCUUCUGUAAUGAAUUGCAUCCAUGAAUCAUCCUUUUCUUCUUCCUCCACGAAAGAAGAUGAAGCUGCCAUCAGAAUAUCAGGUGAU